ACCCGCACAAGCGGUGGAUGAUGUGGUUUAAUUCGAUGCAACGCGAAAACCUUACCCACUUUGACAUGUACGGAAUCCUUUAGAGAUAGAGGAGUGCUCGAAAGAGAACCGUAACACAGGUGCUGCAUGGCUGUCGUCAGCUCGUGUCGUGAGAUGUUGGGUUAAGUCCCGCAACGAGCGCAACCCUUGUCAUUAGUUGCUACAUUCAGUUGGGCACUCUAAUGAGACUGCCGGUGACAAACCGGAGGAAGGUGGGGAUGACGUCAAGUCCUCAUGGCCCUUAUGGGUAGGGCUUCACACGUCAUACAAUGGUCGGUACAGAGGGUUGCCAACCCGCGAGGAGGAGCUAAUCCCACAAAGCCGAUCGUAGUCCGGAUCGCAGUCUGCAACUCGACUGCGUGAAGUCGGAAUCGCUAGUAAUCGUGGAUCAGCAUGUCACGGUGAAUACGUUCCCGGGUCUU
RNAcentral lists this ribosomal RNA (461 nucleotides) under uncultured Acidovorax sp. RNAcentral's name for it is "bacterial SSU rRNA". It matches the Rfam family "Bacterial small subunit ribosomal RNA", at positions 919 to 1382 of the family's 1533-position model. Lineage: Bacteria; Pseudomonadati; Pseudomonadota; Betaproteobacteria; Burkholderiales; Comamonadaceae. The record is from RNAcentral.